RNAcentral lists this ribosomal RNA (822 nucleotides) under uncultured bacterium. Its description in RNAcentral is "bacterial SSU rRNA". It matches the Rfam family "Bacterial small subunit ribosomal RNA", at positions 8 to 813 of the family's 1533-position model. The record is from RNAcentral.
AGAGUUUGAUCCUGGCUCAGGACGAACGCUGGCGGCGUGCCUAAUACAUGCAAGUAGAACGCUGAAGAGAGGAGCUUGCUCUUCUUGAAUGAGUUGCGAACGGGUGAGUAACGCGUAGGUAACCUGCCUUGUAGCGGGGGAUAACUAUUGGAAACGAUAGCUAAUACCGCAUAACAAUGGGUGACACAUGUCAUUUAUUUGAAAGGGGCAAUUGCUCCACUACAAGAUGGACCUGCGUUGUAUUAGCUAGUAGGUGAGGUAACGGCUCACCUAGGCGACGAUACAUAGCCGACCUGAGAGGGUGAUCGGCCACACUGGGACUGAGACACGGCCCAGACUCCUACGGGAGGCAGCAGUAGGGAAUCUUCGGCAAUGGGGGCAACCCUGACCGAGCAACGCCGCGUGAGUGAAGAAGGUUUUCGGAUCGUAAAGCUCUGUUGUAAGUCAAGAACGAGUGUGAGAGUGGAAAGUUCACACUGUGACGGUAGCUUACCAGAAAGGGACGGCUAACUACGUGCCAGCAGCCGCGGUAAUACGUAGGUCCCGAGCGUUGUCCGGAUUUAUUGGGCGUAAAGCGAGCGCAGGCGGUUUGAUAAGUCUGAAGUUAAAGGCUGUGGCUCAACCAUAGUUCGCUUUGGAAACUGUCAAACUUGAGUGCAGAAGGGGAGAGUGGAAUUCCAUGUGUAGCGGUGAAAUGCGUAGAUAUAUGGAGGAACACCGGUGGCGAAAGCGGCUCUCUGGUCUGUAACUGACGCUGAGGCUCGAAAGCGUGGGGAGCGAACAGGAUUAGAUACCCUGGUAGUCCACGCCGUAAACGAUGAG